Molecule: ribosomal RNA, 253 nt
Filed under: uncultured bacterium
Lineage: Bacteria
Description: partial 16S ribosomal RNA
Rfam family: Bacterial small subunit ribosomal RNA
Source: RNAcentral
UACGAAGGGGGCUAGCGUUGUUCGGAUUUACUGGGCGUAAAGCGCACGUAGGCGGAUCUUUAAGUCAGAGGUGAAAUCCCAAGGCUCAACCUUGGAACUGCCUUUGAUACUGGGGAUCUUGAGUCCGGGAGAGGUGAGUGGAACUGCGAGUGUAGAGGUGAAAUUCGUAGAUAUUCGCAAGAACACCAGUGGCGAAGGCGGCUCACUGGCACGGUACUGACGCUGAGGUGCGAAAGCGUGGGGAGCAAACAGG